UACGUCCCUUCAGAGGCCUUGAGAUUUUUAGGGGGUGGUAUUGACGUCAAAGUUUUACACGGUACUGAUCCCUAGAUACCUGGUAAUAUUAUUACUUCCACUACCGAAAAAUUUUACUACUAAAACUUGAAUCAACGAUUCAAUAGUCACACUUAUUUGCUCUUAGUAAAUUCUUUAAUAAAUCAUUUAGUCAUACAGAGAACUUUAAAGUAAUGGGUUAUUUAGCUCGGAAAUCAAGUGAUUCUUCGAUUGACUGAAAAAUUACUCAUUUAACUAAUAAAUUUAUUAGUCAUUGAUAUUUUAUCAAUAUGACUACGACUAAAUCUCGAAGAAAGCUUACUUCUAAUAAUAAGAUCUCAAGUGGAUUACAUUAUAUUAGUAGAACAUACAUACAUUCAGUAGCAGAUAGUAGGUACAGAGUUUUAGACGCAAUUGACUCAUCUGAUCUCCAUUCAGCUAGUGACAACGUACACACACCAAAAGCACCAUAGCGGGAAGACUUGAAUGAACCAUAUCAGUAAUCUCGUCUUGUCUUGUCUUAACUAAAUUGAAAUAGUUAAAUAGUUACAUACUGAAAAGCUAUAACGUCAUAGAUAAUUUAUAUAUCUCGCUUCCUCUGUUACUUAUUAGAUAAAAAAAAAAAAAAAAUACUUAACUCUCUAUCACGACGAUCUAACUGGACUGACGUAUUAACGACAAUUUCGGUAGCUGAAUGAUCUUGCUGUUGCUUUAUAUUUACUGAGUAUAUAAGGCUUAAGGAGGCCAACUCCUUAUAUUAUAAUUUAUAAUAAUAUAUGUAUAUAAAUAAAUAUUUAUCCACCCAUUUUCUUGUUGAUUACUUGGCUGUACAUAAACGGGAAAAUAUCUACAAGUCGGAUGUAAAAACAUUAAUAAAUUACUAUAUGUAUUUAAUAAAUAAACAAAUGAAUAUGAA
Long non-coding RNA from Cotesia glomerata, 934 nucleotides. RefSeq lists it as uncharacterized. Lineage: Eukaryota; Metazoa; Arthropoda; Insecta; Hymenoptera; Braconidae. The record is from RefSeq and is a predicted model, not a curated record. The transcript is spliced from 2 exons.